GACGAACGCUGGCGGCGUGCUUAACACAUGCAAGUCGAACGGAAAGGCCCUGCUUUUGUGGGGUGCUCGAGUGGCGAACGGGUGAGUAACACGUGAGUAACCUGCCCUUGACUUUGGGAUAACUUCGGGAAACUGGGGCUAAUACCGGAUAGGAGCUCCUGCUGCAUGGUGGGGGUUGGAAAGUUUCGGCGGUUGGGGCUGGACUAGCGGCUUAUCAGCUUGUUGGUGGGGUAGUGGCUUACCAAGGCUUUGACGGGUAGCCGGCCUGAGAGGGUGACCGGCCACAUUGGGACUGAGAUACGGCCCAGACUCCUACGGGAGGCAGCAGUGGGGAAUAUUGCACAAUGGGCGGAAGCCUGAUGCAACAACGCCGCGUGCGGGAUGACGGCCUUCGGGUUGUAAACCGCUUUCGCCUGUGACGAAGCGUGAGUGACGGUAAUGGGUAAAGAAGCACCGGCUAACUACGUG
This 468-nucleotide ribosomal RNA is filed under the name uncultured bacterium. Its description in RNAcentral is "partial 16S ribosomal RNA". It matches the Rfam family "Bacterial small subunit ribosomal RNA", at positions 28 to 507 of the family's 1533-position model. The record is from RNAcentral.